AUGAUGUUUCUGACGCAUGCAUAUUUGUACUUCAAAACUACUAAAAGUAGUAUAUAUUUUUUCUGGGAAUUUUAUAGCAAAAUCUAUACAUUUAAAUGCUCAAUGCCUAAAACCUUCUAUCCUCUUUGUAAAUUAUUCCUAUACACAGAAAUUGGUUUUUUUAUCCUGUCAGUUAGAAGGGAAAAAUGGUUUGUGGUUCAUGCACGUGCUUCCAUCAAGAGAAGAAAAAACGCAUCAUCCAUCCGCACAAGAAACCGUUUCAAUAUGAUCAGUUGCUGCAAAAAAGGAAAGUUGCGGCUAAUUAAAGAGUUAUGA
Molecule: ribosomal RNA, 315 nt
Filed under: Triticum aestivum (bread wheat)
Lineage: Eukaryota; Viridiplantae; Streptophyta; Magnoliopsida; Poales; Poaceae
Description: partial small subunit ribosomal RNA
Source: RNAcentral